Molecule: long non-coding RNA, 537 nt
Filed under: Homo sapiens (human)
Lineage: Eukaryota; Metazoa; Chordata; Mammalia; Primates; Hominidae
Description: non-protein coding lnc-GLYR1-1:3
Source: RNAcentral
GGGGCGGACGGGAGGACCGGAGGACCGAGGACAGAAAGAUUGGUGGACAGGAGCAGCGGCCGGUGGGGAGGGCGCUCGGCGGCGGCCUGCGGCCAUGGCCACCGUGAUGGCAGCGACGGCGGCGGAGCGGGCGGUGCUGGUAAGGCGCGCGGGCCAGCGGGCGGGCCGGCGGGGCGGCGGGGCCGGGCGCGACCGCCGGGUCUGUCCCGCAGGAGGAGGAGUUCCGCUGGCUGCUGCACGACGAGGUGCACGCUGUGUUGAAGCAGCUGCAGGACAUCCUCAAGGAGGCCUCUCUGCGCUUCACUCUGCCGGGCUCCGGCACUGAGGGGCCCGCCAAGCAAGAGAACUUCAUCCUAGGCAGCUGUGGGUGAGCCUGGGCUAGGCGGAAACCGGGGAAAUGGGUACCUUGGGGGGUAGGAGGCAUGGCCAUAGCCCUGUCCUGCAGACCAGCUGGUUGUGCGAUGGGACAGGAGGGGCAGCCCGCCGGGAGGGAGGGCUGGGUGGUGGGGGGGUGACCACAGGCACCGCUCUGACGCC